Molecule: ribosomal RNA, 424 nt
Filed under: Bacillus sp. 2001V
Lineage: Bacteria; Bacillati; Bacillota; Bacilli; Caryophanales; Bacillaceae
Description: bacterial SSU rRNA
Rfam family: Bacterial small subunit ribosomal RNA
Source: RNAcentral
AUGGACGAAAGUCUGACGGAGCAACGCCGCGUGAGUGAUGAAGGUUUUCGGAUCGUAAAACUCUGUUGUUAGGGAAGAACAAGUGCCUUCGAAUAGGGCGGCACCUUGACGGUACCUAACGAGAAAGCCACGGCUAACUACGUGCCAGCAGCCGCGGUAAUACGUAGGUGGCAAGCGUUGUCCGGAAUUAUUGGGCGUAAAGCGCGCGCAGGCGGUCUCUUAAGUCUGAUGUGAAAGCCCCCGGCUCAACCGGGGAGGGUCAUUGGAAACUGGGAGACUUGAGUACAGAAGAGGAGAGUGGAAUUCCACGUGUAGCGGUGAAAUGCGUAGAGAUGUGGAGGAACACCAGUGGCGAAGGCGACUCUCUGGUCUGUAACUGACGCUGAGGCGCGAAAGCGUGGGGAGCAAACAGGAUUAGAUACCC